This 257-nucleotide ribosomal RNA is filed under the name Uroplatus phantasticus. RNAcentral describes it as "partial 12S ribosomal RNA". It matches the Rfam family "Bacterial small subunit ribosomal RNA", at positions 890 to 1266 of the family's 1533-position model. Lineage: Eukaryota; Metazoa; Chordata; Lepidosauria; Squamata; Gekkonidae. The record is from RNAcentral.
AACCGCUUUAAACUCAAAAGACUUGGCAGUAUCUCAUACACCUAGAGGAGCCUGUCCUAUAACCGAUAACCCACGAUCAACCUUACCCACCCUUGCACAAACCAGCCUAUAUACCUCCGUCGCCAGUACGCCUGUUAACAGUUACAAAAGCGUAUAUAAUAGUCUACCACUAACACGACAGGUCAAGGUGUAGCUAAUGGGCGGGACAGAGAUGGGCUACAUUUUCUUCACUAGAAAACACCCAACAUGUAAUGAAA